Molecule: long non-coding RNA, 3925 nt
Organism: Cydia fagiglandana
Lineage: Eukaryota; Metazoa; Arthropoda; Insecta; Lepidoptera; Tortricidae
Exons: 2
Source: RefSeq, a predicted model, not a curated record
ACUUAUUAUAUGUUUCAUCGUGUACCGAGUCACAGUCAGUUUAUUGAGUAACUGCCCAAUUCGAACUUUAAGAUACGUCAAUUAAUAGACAUAGAAACGACAUGGAUUAGAUGUGUCAGUGUCAAAAGUGACUUUGUUUGAAGAAACGUCACAUUUGACACUGACAUAUCUAAUCCAUAUCGUUUCUAGAGCUAUUAAUUGACGUAUCUUAAAAUUUUAAUCGAGCUGCUAGUUCGAUACAAGAUACUUGUCAAUAACAAUCACGAUCAAUAUUUUAGAGUAUUACACUUUGAGUAGGUACAGCCAGCAUAACUAUUCGCUUAGCAGCACUCCUGCAUACAAAAAUGUAUGCAGGGUGCUAAGUUAAUAGGUUUACUGACUGUCCUUAUUACACCUGAGGCCGUCGUUAUCUGCCUCUCUAUCGUUCUUGACCUGUAUAUUCGAGGGAUAGAAAGGCAGAUAAAUACAUUACGAUUUUCGUGGUUCUGUGAGUACGAAAACUCUAUAAAACUUGAUAAUCUCAUAACAAAUCUAGACUCACUUCAGACUUUAGAAAUAUUACAAUUUGCAUGCACCAAAACUUAAGUUCCUUAAAAUAAACGAUAAAUAAUUAUAAAUUCUAAUUUAUAAGUUUAUAUUGCAAGUUUAUAUAUGUAUAUUUAAUAAUACAUAUUUAAGUAUAAACUAGAGCACUCAGUAAAUCUUGUGACAGUAUCAGUAAAUCUUUGUUUUGGUGCUUCCAAUACUAAAAUGGACAGCUUAUUUCGUGUUUACCAAAAAACGUGUGAACUAGUUUUAUUGAAGAGAAAUUUUAUGGCCUAAUCUUAUGUAAUUAUGUGUUUUUAUAUCAUGUCUAUAAAAUAUUUAUAAAGGAAACAUUAUGUAACAGUUCGGGCCACGCCAUAGGCGCGGUGUUCACGGCCUAAUUCGAACUUUAAGAUACUUUAAAAAUUUGCUAAAGAUACGUUAUGGGUCUGAUAUGUCAGUGUCAAGUGACGUUUUGCAAGCCUAAACGUCACUUUUGACACUGACAAACCCGAUCCAUGUCGUAUUUUUAGCAAAUUUUAGACGUAGGUAUCUUAAAAUUCGAAUCAGGCCGAUAGUCGGUCAUCAGUUGGUAUAUUCAGUAUAAUAAUAUAUGUAUAGAAUGGUACAACACUCAGGAGAUAUUGUUUAAAGACAUAAUUUAAAAACGCAAAAGUAAUAAUUUGAAAUGUUAAUUGAGUUUCCUAUUUAGUUUAAGAUGUAAAUUAAUUGCGAUUUGUGCCUGUUGUGCAACAGGUUACUAGAUUACCUGUACUGGCUAAGUUCAAGUGAAGAUGUGUAUACAAAUAUUAUUUUAUUGUUAAGGUUUCAAAAUAACCAUUGAAAAUAUUAUUUAUGUCUUAAUGACUAACCCAUCUAUAAAAUAUCGUUCCCAAUAGUUAAUCGGCCCAAUUCACACUUUAAGAUACGUCUAGAUACGAUAUGUCAGUGUCAAAAAUGACGUUUUUGUUUGAAGAAACGUCACUUUUCUCAUCUAAUCCGUAUGGUAUCUAGUCGAAAUAUUUGACGUUCUUUAAAGUUGGAAUCUGCCGAUUAUUGUUGAAUUAGGUAUUUUGAACCCCACUGCUUUAUCAAAUACAGUGUAAACUAUAUAGCGACACUCAACCGGACACUUUUUGAUGUUAUAGAGCAUUUUUUGUUAAAUAGAGAGAAAUUAAUAUUAAAGUAAACCAACUAGAGCCAAAAAUGACGAUGUUGUAGGGAGUGAAUCAUUAUAUCGAGUGACGUUACAUGGAGUUUAUACUGUAACUAAAUUAUACUAUACUGAUCUUCACUUGAUCAAAGUCUAAUAAUAUAAGUUGCGCCGACCAAAAUACAAAUAAGUUGAGCAUAAAACGUGUCGUAUAUGAUAAGUUGAGCAUAAAGGAUGACUCACGUUAGACCGGGACCGAUUUUAGAAUUCCGAUCGCUCGAUUUUGUGUAUUUCGCUCAAUGAUAUCUACAGUACCCGGCAUUUAAAUUCUACUAAUAGAAUUGAAAACGAAUAGUCAAUACCACUCGAUUCCCAAUUUCUAUCGCUCGUAUUUCAAAAAUAAGCAUUUCGUCGAUUUUCGAGUGACGAAAUAGAACGCUCGAAAUUCAAAAAUCGGCCUCCAGGCCGUACACGGCCCGGUCUAACGUGAGUGAUCCUUAACUCAUGUCGAAUAAGAUAAAACAUCUCGAUAAACCAUAACAUUAGAUAUUAAUUUAUAUUGUAAAUUGAAGUGUUCUUUUGAAAUCAUUAAUAUAGUUAUGCAUGUAUGAAAUAACUUCGGUAUUUUUAAGCAAAUAGAUAGGUUAAGUUUUUUACGUGACAUUCCUUUUUAAUGUGAAUUGAGAAAUUAUGUACACCAUACAAGCGCAGUUACCAUUUUUUUAUACCUAUUAUCUAUUAUAUGAAGUACAGAUGAAGUGCACAAUUGUUUUCCAUCGUAUUUUCACGGAAACGUACGAAAGUGUCUUGCUAUUUCAGUAAGGGUAACAUUCCAUUUCCAACGACAGCUGCACUACUGUCAAUUUUACUAUGGAAAUUGACAAUGACAGCGACGCGUUCGUACCGGUAGUGCAGCUGCGGUUAGAAAUGGAAUGUUACCAUUAGUCUCGUUACAAAAAGUACUGAGAUUGACUGAAAAAGCAUGACCAGUACAAGAAGCUAACGGCUAAGCUUCAGACUUUGGCCCAUCGGCGGAAAGUCGCCAGCCUGUCGGUAUUCUACAGGUUGCACUUCGGGGAGUGUGCCCAAGAGCUACACGAGCUCAUUCCACCGUCCCCAUUCUACCAUCGGACUUUUAGACGCACGGCCGGUUUCCAUCCUUACUUGGUAGAUAUUCCGCCAAUUCGCACUAAGCGCUUUGCUUCUACUUUCCUUAUGCGCACUGCCAAGGAAUGGAAUUCCUUGCCGGCGUCUAUAUUUCCGUGCUCUUAUAACCCGGCAACCUUCAAAUCAAGAGUGAACAGGCACCUUCUGGGCGAGCUCGCUCCAUCGUAGGCCACGUCUACGCCUCGGCUAGUCUGUGGCCAUGAGUAAACCCAUGCAUAAUAAAAAAAAAAAAAAAAAAAAAACAUUUCCGAGAAAAUACGAUGCAAUAUAAUUAUGCACUACAUCUGUACCUAUACGCAACUUUAUUCUUGGCUCAGUUGGGACAAAAUCAGGUAUGAGUAGCCACUUUUUUUUUUUUUUUUUUUGCUGGUUUUACACUCUAUAACCAAAACAUAUUUAUUUAAACAACAAUAAUUAAAUUGUGGGCUUUGUUUUAACUUUACGUCAAUUUUUUCCAUUUAACGCAUUUUUAAAUAAUCGGUUGAGUCAACUCAUUAGUACAUCGAAUAUUACUUGUUUCACAUAGUACGUUACGUAUACUUAGACGCAAUAAUAAAUAAGUGUUCCGUGAACAAAGUUUUGUACGGAACACUAAAAAUAUGAGAAACAAAAUAUUAAAUGUGAUUAAUUAUAAUAUUAAAUAGCCAUUAACGUGCUGUUUUUCGUGAGAUUAAAAACUAAAAAUGUAUAAUACUGCCCGAUUUGAACUUUAAGCUACGUCAAUUAAUAGACCUAGAAACGUUAUGGAUUAGAUAUGUCAGUGUCAAAUGUGACAUUUCUUCAAACAAAAACGUCACUUUUGACACUGACAUAUCUAAUCCAUAUCGUUUCUAGAUCUAUUAAUUGGCAUAUGUUAAAGUACGAACCGGACCGAUAGUCAUAGCUCAAGAGGUGAGAGGAGAGUCAAGGGUAAAAGAGCAAUGAUAUGUAUGUUGAAUUUAUUAAUUUUUGUAAAUAAUUGUUUGAGAUCAUUCCCUGUAUGGUUCAUAACAUUGUUUGUAUUUAUUUAUAGGCAUUGGUGCAUAUCAUGUGUAUAGAGCAGAUGAUUAAUCAAAUAAAUUAGAACAAAAAUAUAGUUGA